This 501-nucleotide ribosomal RNA is filed under the name uncultured bacterium. Its description in RNAcentral is "partial 16S ribosomal RNA". It matches the Rfam family "Bacterial small subunit ribosomal RNA", at positions 30 to 523 of the family's 1533-position model. The record is from RNAcentral.
AUUGAACGCUGGCGGCAGGCUUAACACAUGCAAGUCGAGCGGGGGAAGGUAGCUUGCUACCGGACCUAGCGGCGGACGGGUGAGUAAUGCUUAGGAAUCUGCCUAUUAGUGGGGGACAACAUCUCGUAAGGGAUGCUAAUACCGCAUACGUCCUACGGGAGAAAGCAGGGGAUCUUCGGACCUUGCGCUAAUAGAUGAGCCUAGGUGGGAUUAGACAGUUGGUGGGGUAAAGGCCUACCAAGGCGACGAUCUGUAGCGGGUCUGAGAGGAUGCACCGCCGCACUGGGACUGAGACACGGCCCAGAUUCCUACGGGAGGCAGCAGUGGGGAAUAUUGGACAAGGGGGGGAAACCUGAUCUAGCCAUGCCGCGUGUGUGAAGAAGGCCUUAUGGUUGUAAAGCACUUGAAGCGAGGGGGAGGCUACUUUAGUUAAUACCUAGAGAUAGUGGACGUUACUCGCAGAAUAAGCACCGGCUAACUCUGUGCCAGCCGCCGCCGUAA